GUUCAUCCGGUCGUUGUCGUGUACUUCCGGUUGGGCUCUGGUUUAAAUGUAAGAUUAACAUAAACAGACAUAAAACGAUGCAAGUAAGUCGACGCUGUUUGGACAGAAUAUUCUCGAUCGUUCUUGUGUUCGUGGUUCUGCUGUCCUGGGGCUUCGUCAUCUACGGCACACGAAUCGCCGCCCAAUGGGAGCUGGAGAAGAGGGAACAGAUCAAGACGUGAAUCAACAACAAACAUGACUUCCGUCGAUACAGACUCAUCUAAAGCCCGUAUCAGAGGAAACACCCUUAAACCAGCAGAGAUCUGGAGGUCCAGACUGAAUCAACGCCAGAACUGUGUUUAGAAUAAUGUGUGAUUUAUUUAUAUUCCUCUUCUUGAUUUGUUUUAUUCAACGAUGUAAAUACUUCAAUUUUUAAAUAUAUAUUUUUCAAACAGAAAGUGUUUUUCUUAUUAAUAUUUGAUCUAACACUGUAUUUUUUUUUGUCAGAUCCUAAGAAAAAUAUUUAAUAAAAAAUGUAAACAUG
Megalobrama amblycephala (Wuchang bream) is the source of this 523-nucleotide long non-coding RNA. RefSeq lists it as uncharacterized. The transcript is spliced from 2 exons. The record is from RefSeq and is a predicted model, not a curated record. NCBI's taxonomy places the organism in Eukaryota, Metazoa, Chordata, Actinopteri, Cypriniformes, Xenocyprididae.